This 618-nucleotide ribosomal RNA is filed under the name uncultured bacterium. RNAcentral describes it as "bacterial SSU rRNA". It matches the Rfam family "Bacterial small subunit ribosomal RNA", at positions 69 to 685 of the family's 1533-position model. The record is from RNAcentral.
GAAAGCUUGCUUUUGAUGGGCGUCGACCGGCGCACGGGUGAGUAACGCGUAUCCAACCUGCCCACCGCUUGGGGAUAACCUUGCGAAAGUAAGACUAAUACCCAAUGACGUCUCUAGAAGACAUCUGAAAGGGAUUAAAGAUUUAUCGGUGAUGGAUGGGGAUGCGUCUGAUUAGCUUGUUGGCGGGGUAACGGCCCACCAAGGCGACGAUCAGUAGGGGUUCUGAGAGGAAGGUCCCCCACAUUGGAACUGAGACACGGUCCAAACUCCUACGGGAGGCAGCAGUGAGGAAUAUUGGUCAAUGGGCGAGAGCCUGAACCAGCCAAGUAGCGUGCAGGAUGACGGCCCUAUGGGUUGUAAACUGCUUUUAUAAGGGAAUAAAGUGAGUCUCGUGAGACUUUUUGCAUGUACCUUAUGAAUAAGGACCGGCUAAUUCCGUGCCAGCAGCCGCGGUAAUACGGAAGGUCCGGGCGUUAUCCGGAUUUAUUGGGUUUAAAGGGAGCGUAGGCCGGAGAUUAAGCGUGUUGUGAAAUGUAGACGCUCAACGUCUGCACUGCAGCGCGAACUGGUUUCCUUGAGUACGCACAAAGUGGGCGGAAUUCGUGGUGUAGCGGUGAA